Long non-coding RNA from Pyrgilauda ruficollis (rufous-necked snowfinch), 268 nucleotides. RefSeq lists it as uncharacterized. The transcript is spliced from 3 exons. The record is from RefSeq and is a predicted model, not a curated record. NCBI's taxonomy places the organism in Eukaryota, Metazoa, Chordata, Aves, Passeriformes, Passeridae.
CUGGAGCCCGGGAUCUUCGCUUGGGAGCCAACAUCUGGUGGGAAUCUCACCGUGUUGGUCGCUGUGUUCGUCAUUGUUGCCAUCCUCAUCCUCAUCGUCCUCAUUGGAUUUGGAGUCUGGAGGCUCCAGUCUGGGAGGAGGGACGGGAAAGGAUACAACCCGGCAGCUGGUGAGUUCCAAUGGUGGAUUCAGCUCUGGAUCCCCUCUGUGCGGAUCCCAGGACAGAUCUGGGGGUUAAUCCCUGUGUGUGAUCCAUGCUGGAAUCUCA